Molecule: ribosomal RNA, 200 nt
Filed under: uncultured bacterium
Lineage: Bacteria
Description: partial 16S ribosomal RNA
Rfam family: Bacterial small subunit ribosomal RNA
Source: RNAcentral
UACGGAGGAUCCAAGCGUUAUCCGGAUUUAUUGGGUUUAAAGGGUCCGUAGGCGGGAAAUUAAGUCAGUGGUGAAAUCCUACAGCUUAACUGUAGAACUGCCAUUGAUACUGGUUUUCUUGAAUGUAGUUGAGGUGGGCGGAAUAUGUCAUGUAGCGGUGAAAUGCAUAGAUAUGACAUAGAACACCUAUUGCGAAGGCA